This 242-nucleotide unclassified non-coding RNA is filed under the name plant metagenome. RNAcentral's name for it is "partial contains small subunit ribosomal RNA, internal transcribed spacer 1, and 5.8S ribosomal RNA". The stretch from base 1 to 54 matches the Rfam family "Eukaryotic small subunit ribosomal RNA", at positions 1778 to 1831 of the family's 1831-position model. The record is from RNAcentral.
GUAAGUAAAAGUCGUAACAAGGUUUCCGUAGGUGAACCUGCGGAAGGAUCAUUACAGAGUUCAUGCCCUCACGGGUAGAUCUCCCACCCUUGAAUAUUUAUACCUUAGUUGCUUUGGCAGGCCGUGGAAACACCAUGGGCUCCGGCUUAUGCGUGCCUGCCAGAGGAAACAAACUCUGUUUUUAGUGAUGUCUGAGUACUAUAUAAUAGUUAAAACUUUCAACAACGGAUCUCUUGGUUCUG